Molecule: long non-coding RNA, 396 nt
Organism: Oncorhynchus tshawytscha (Chinook salmon)
Lineage: Eukaryota; Metazoa; Chordata; Actinopteri; Salmoniformes; Salmonidae
Source: Ensembl
GUGAUGAUGAGGUUAAGGGUUUAGGGGGACAUGAUGAGUGGAGGUGAUGAUGAGGUAAAGGGUUUAGGGGACAGGAUGAGUGGAGGUGAUGAUGAGAUAAAGGGUUUAGGGGGACAGGAUGAGUGGAGGUGAUGAUGAGGUUUAGGGGGACAGGAUGAGUGGAGGUGAUGAUGGGGUAAAGGGUUUAGGGGGAAUGAUGAGUGGAGGUGAUGAUGAGAUAAAGGGUUUAGGGGGACAGGAUGAGUGGAGGUGAUGAUGAGGUUUAGGGGGACAGGAUGAGUGGAGGUGAUGAUGAGGUUAAGGGUUUAGGGGGAUGAGUGGAGGUGAUGAUGAGGUUAAGGGUUUAGGGGGACAUGAUGAGUGGAGGUGAUGAUGAGGUUAAGGGUUUAGGGGGAC